GAUGAACGCUAGCUACAGGCUUAACACAUGCAAGUCGAGGGGUAACGAGAGGGAAGCUUGCUUUCCUUGUCGACGACCGGCGCACGGGUGAGUAACGCGUAUCCAACCUGCCCCCAACUAAGGAAUAACCUUGCGAAAGUAAGACUAAUACCCUAUAAUUUCCUCAGAUGACAUCUGACGAGGAAUAAAGAUUUAUCGGUUGUGGAUGGGGAUGCGUCUGAUUAGCUCGUGGGCGGGGUAACGGCCCACCAAGGCAACGAUCAGUAGGGGUUCUGAGAGGAAGGUCCCCCACAUUGGAACUGAGACACGGUCCAAACUCCUACGGGAGGCAGCAGUGAGGAAUAUUGGUCAAUGGGCGGAAGCCUGAACCAGCCAAGUAGCGUGCAGGAUGACGGCCCUAUGGGUUGUAAACUGCUUUUAUACAGGAAUAAAGUUAGCCACGUGUGGUUAUUUGUAGGUACUGUAUGAAUAAGGACCGGCUAAUUCCGUGCCAGCAGCCGCGGUAA
This 506-nucleotide ribosomal RNA is filed under the name uncultured bacterium. RNAcentral's name for it is "partial 16S ribosomal RNA". It matches the Rfam family "Bacterial small subunit ribosomal RNA", at positions 28 to 523 of the family's 1533-position model. The record is from RNAcentral.